GCCUGGGUGGUUCAGUUGGUUAAGUGUCCAACUCUUGAUUUUGGCUCAAGUUAUGAUCUCAUGGUUUGUGGGUUCAAGCCCCACAUCAGGCU
Transfer RNA from Felis catus (domestic cat), 92 nucleotides. It matches the Rfam family "tRNA". From Rfam's summary of the family: Transfer RNA (tRNA) molecules are approximately 80 nucleotides in length. Their secondary structure includes four short double-helical elements and three loops (D, anti-codon, and T loops). Lineage: Eukaryota; Metazoa; Chordata; Mammalia; Carnivora; Felidae. The record is from Rfam.